UACGUAGGGCGCAAGCGUUGUCCGGAAUUAUUGGGCGUAAAGAGCUCGUAGGCGGCCUGUUACGUCUGCUGUGAAAUCCCGGGGCUUAACCCCGGGCGUGCAGUGGAUACGGGCAGGCUGGAGGCAGGCAGGGGAGAGCGGAAUUCCCGGUGUAGCGGUGAAAUGCGCAGAUAUCGGGAGGAACACCGGUGGCGAAGGCGGUUCUCUGGGCCUGUACUGACGCUGAGGAGCGAAAGCGUGGGGAGCGAACAGG
Molecule: ribosomal RNA, 253 nt
Filed under: uncultured bacterium
Lineage: Bacteria
Description: partial 16S ribosomal RNA
Rfam family: Bacterial small subunit ribosomal RNA
Source: RNAcentral